AGCGAACGCUGGCGGCAGGCCUAACACAUGCAAGUCGAACGAACUCUUCGGAGUUAGUGGCGGACGGGUGAGUAACACGUGGGAACGUGCCUUUUGGUUCGGAAUAACUCAGGGAAACUUGUGCUAAUACCGAAUGUGCCCUUCGGGGGAAAGAUUUAUCGCCAUUAGAGCGGCCCGCGUCUGAUUAGCUAGUUGGUGAGGUAACGGCUCACCAAGGCGACGAUCAGUAGCUGGUCUGAGAGGAUGACCAGCCACACUGGGACUGAGACACGGCCCAGACUCGUACGGGAGGAAGAAGUGGGGAAUCUUGCGCAAUGGGCGAAAGCCUGACGCAGCCAUGACGCGUGAAUGAUGAAGGUCUUAGGAUUGUAAAAUUCUUUCGCCGGGGACGAUAGUGACGGUACCCGGAGAAGAAGCCCCGGCUAACUUCGUG
Molecule: ribosomal RNA, 433 nt
Filed under: uncultured bacterium
Lineage: Bacteria
Description: partial 16S ribosomal RNA
Rfam family: Bacterial small subunit ribosomal RNA
Source: RNAcentral